GUGGCUGUAGCUCAAUGGUAGAGUCCUUGGUUGUGGUCCAAGUUGUUGUGGGUUCGAAUCCCAUCAGCCACCCCA
This 75-nucleotide transfer RNA is filed under the name Candidatus Amphirhobacter heronislandensis. RNAcentral describes it as "Betaproteobacteria bacterium AqS2 (symbiont metagenome) tRNA-His". It matches the Rfam family "tRNA". Rfam says of the family: Transfer RNA (tRNA) molecules are approximately 80 nucleotides in length. Their secondary structure includes four short double-helical elements and three loops (D, anti-codon, and T loops). The record is from RNAcentral. Lineage: Bacteria; Pseudomonadati; Pseudomonadota; Gammaproteobacteria; Candidatus Tethybacterales; Candidatus Tethybacteraceae.